UAGGUAGGUGGUUACGUAUGUCUGGGGUGAAAUCCCUGAGCUCAACUCAGGAAGUGCCUUGGAAACGGCGUAACUAGAGUGCUAGAGAGGUUCGUGGAAUUCCCAGUGUAGCGGUGAAAUGCGUAGAGAUUGGGAGGAACACCAGAGGCGAAGGCGGCGAACUGGAUAGCAACUGACACUGAACUACGAAAGCGUGGGUAGCAAACAGGAUUAGAUACCCUGGUAGUCCACGCUGUAAACGAUGGGUACUAGGCUUCGUGGGAGUUGACCCCUGCGGAGCCGGAGCUAACGCAAUAAGUACCCCGCCUGGGAAGUACGGUCGCAAGACUAAA
Molecule: ribosomal RNA, 332 nt
Filed under: uncultured Desulfuromonas sp.
Lineage: Bacteria; Pseudomonadati; Thermodesulfobacteriota; Desulfuromonadia; Desulfuromonadales; Desulfuromonadaceae
Description: bacterial SSU rRNA
Rfam family: Bacterial small subunit ribosomal RNA
Source: RNAcentral